AGAACGAACGCUGGCGGCAUGCCUAACACAUGCAAGUCGAACGAGACCUUCGGGUCUAGUGGCGCACGGGUGCGUAACGCGUGGGAAUCUGCCCCUUGGUUCGGAAUAACUCAGAGAAAUUUGAGCUAAUACCGGAUGAUGACGUAAGUCCAAAGAUUUAUCGCCAAGGGAUGAGCCCGCGUAGGAUUAGCUAGUUGGUGAGGUAAAGGCUCACCAAGGCGACGAUCCUUAGCUGGUCUGAGGGGAUGAUCAGCCACACUGGGACUGAGACACGGCCCAGACUCCUACGGGAGGCAGCAGUGGGGAAUAUUGGACAAUGGGCGAAAGCCUGAUCCAGCAAUGCCGCGUGAGUGAUGAAGGCCUUAGGUUGUAAAGCUCUUUUACCGGGAUGGAUAAUGACAGUACCGGAGAAUAAGCUCCGGCUAACGUCCGCGCCAGCAGCCGAC
This 446-nucleotide ribosomal RNA is filed under the name uncultured soil bacterium. RNAcentral describes it as "bacterial SSU rRNA". It matches the Rfam family "Bacterial small subunit ribosomal RNA", at positions 26 to 518 of the family's 1533-position model. The record is from RNAcentral.